This 458-nucleotide ribosomal RNA is filed under the name uncultured bacterium. RNAcentral's name for it is "partial 16S ribosomal RNA". It matches the Rfam family "Bacterial small subunit ribosomal RNA", at positions 338 to 795 of the family's 1533-position model. The record is from RNAcentral.
CCUACGGGGGGCUGCAGUGGGGAAUAUUGCACAAUGGGGGAAACCCUGAUGCAGCGACGCCGCGUGAGUGAAGAAGUAAUUCGUUACGUAAAGCUCUAUCAGCAGGGAAGAAACACUGACCUUACGGUCAGCAGACGGUACCUGAGUAAGAAGCGCCGGCUAACUACGUGCCACCAGCGGCGGUAAUACGUAGGGGGCAAGCGUUAUCCGGAUUUACUGGGUGGAAAGGGGGCGGAGACGGUGAGCCAAGUCUGGAGUGAAAUGCCGCAGCUUAACUGCGGAACUGCUUUGGAAACUGGCGAACUAGAGUGCGGGAGGGGUAAGCGGAAUUCCUAGUGUAGCGGUGAAAUGCGUAGAUAUUAGGAGGAACACCGGUGGCGAAGGCGGCUUACUGGACCGUAACUGACGUUGAGGCUCGAAAGCGUGGGGAGCAAACAGGAUUAGAUACCCGAGUAGUC